Triticum aestivum (bread wheat) is the source of this 125-nucleotide non-coding RNA. The record is from Rfam. NCBI's taxonomy places the organism in Eukaryota, Viridiplantae, Streptophyta, Magnoliopsida, Poales, Poaceae.
UUUGUACUCCCUCCAUCCGGAAAUACUUGUCGGAGAAAUGGAUGUAUCUAGAUGUAUUUUGGUUCUAGAUACAUCCAUUUUUAUGCAUUUCCGCGACAAGUAUUUCCGGAGGGAGGGAGUACAAC